This 82-nucleotide ribosomal RNA is filed under the name Bacteroidales bacterium. Lineage: Bacteria; Pseudomonadati; Bacteroidota; Bacteroidia; Bacteroidales. The record is from RNAcentral.
CUCUUCCCAUUCCGAACAGAGAAGUUAAGCCCGUCAGCGCCGAUGGUACUGCUAAUUGUGGGAGAGUAGGUAGUCGCCGGCC